This 31-nucleotide non-coding RNA is filed under the name Homo sapiens (human). Lineage: Eukaryota; Metazoa; Chordata; Mammalia; Primates; Hominidae. The record is from RNAcentral.
UGAGACCCUUUAAGUUGUGAGAUAGUGCUGU